GAUGAACGCUGGCGGCAGGCUUAAUACAUGCAAGUUGAACGGUAACAUUUUGUAGCAAUACAGAGAUGACGAGUAGCGUACGGGUGCGUAACACGUGUGCAACCUACCUUAUACAGGAACAAAACGUUGAGAAAUUAGCGCUAAUAUUCCAUAAUAUUAUUGAUAGGCAUCUAUUUAUAAUUAAAGCUCAGGUGGUAUAAGAUGGGCACGCGUUCCAUUAGCUAGUUGGUAAGGUAACGGCUUACCAAGGCAACGAUGGAUAGGGGUUCUGAGAGGAUACACCCCCACACUGGAACUGAGACACGGUCCAGACUCCUACGGGAGGCAGCAGUAAGGAAUAUUGGGCAAUGGAGGCAACUCUGACCCAGCCAUGCCGCGUGCAGGAAGACAGUCUUAUGGAUUGUAAACUGCUUUUAAUAGGGAAUAAUUUCGAUUAUGUAUAGUUGAUUGCAGGUACCUAUAGAAUCAGCAUCGGCUAACUCCGUGCC
Molecule: ribosomal RNA, 488 nt
Filed under: uncultured bacterium
Lineage: Bacteria
Description: bacterial SSU rRNA
Rfam family: Bacterial small subunit ribosomal RNA
Source: RNAcentral